AUGGGGUACUCCAAAAACCUAGCGGCUGGCCUGCUCGCCAUGUUUUUCCUAGCUCCAGCCGUCCUGGCUACCGACCCUGACCCUCUCCAGGACUUCUGUGCCGCCGACCUCGACGGCAAGGCAGUCUCGGUGAACGGGCAUCCGUGCAAGCCCAUGUCGGAGGCCGGCGAUGACUUCCUCUUCUCGUCCAAGCUAGCCAAGGCUGGCAACACAUCGACCCCAAACGGCUCGGCCGUGACGGAGCUCGACGUGGCCGAGUGGCCCGGUACGAACACGCUAGGCGUGUCGAUGAACCGCGUGGACUUCGCACCGGGGGGCACCAACCCGCCACACAUCCACCCUCGUGCCACCGAGAUCGGCAUCGUGAUGAAAGGCAAGACCGAGGCCUCCAUGGUCGUCUCCUUCAACAGCCAGAACCCCGGCAUCGUCUUCGUGCCACUCACGCUCUUCGGCUCCAACCCACCCAUCCCGACACCGGUGCUCACCAAGGCGCUCCGGGUAGAGGCCGGGGUCGUGGAACUUCUUAAGUCCAAGUUUACCACCGGGUUUUAA
This 552-nucleotide ribosomal RNA is filed under the name Triticum aestivum (bread wheat). Its description in RNAcentral is "partial small subunit ribosomal RNA". Lineage: Eukaryota; Viridiplantae; Streptophyta; Magnoliopsida; Poales; Poaceae. The record is from RNAcentral.